UAAGAGGUCCAGCCUGCCCAGUGACAAAGUUUAACGGCCGCGGUACCCUAACCGUGCUAAGGUAGCAUAAUCACUUGUCCUUUAAAUGGGGACUAGUAUCAACGGCAUCACGAGGGUUACACUGUCUCCUCCCCCCAAUCAGUGAAACUGAUCUCCCCGUGAAGAAGCGGGGAUAUACCUAUAAGACGAGAAGACCCCAUGGAGCUUUAAGCUCAACAACACCUCCACAUAAACAUACCCCCGUAUACCACGAGUUCUGUCUGUUAGCUUUAGGUUGGGGUGACCGCGGAGCAUAAUUUAACCUCCACGACGAACUAGGCCUAAAACCCUUAUCCAAGAGCCACUGCUCUAAGAAUCAUAAAUUGACGUAAAAUGAUCCGGAUUUUUUCGAUCAACGAACCAAGUUACCCUGGGGAUAACAGCGCAAUCCAUUUCAAGAGCCCCUAU
RNAcentral lists this ribosomal RNA (447 nucleotides) under Tomopterna sp. B Beira. RNAcentral's name for it is "partial 16S ribosomal RNA". It matches the Rfam family "Bacterial large subunit ribosomal RNA", at positions 1846 to 2505 of the family's 2925-position model. The record is from RNAcentral. Lineage: Eukaryota; Metazoa; Chordata; Amphibia; Anura; Pyxicephalidae.